RNAcentral lists this long non-coding RNA (371 nucleotides) under Olea europaea subsp. europaea. Lineage: Eukaryota; Viridiplantae; Streptophyta; Magnoliopsida; Lamiales; Oleaceae. The record is from RNAcentral.
GGCAAAUACACACACACAAACACACCCCGAGGGUUUUGCAUUCUGUAAAUUCUACCAAUUAUGGUGAAUUCGCAGCAAGCAUCGGGUCGGCCAUGGAUUCUGGAAAUCGUACCUCUGGCGGUCGUUAUUCUUAUUGUUGCCCACGUCCUUGCUUUGGUUAAAACCAACCUCAAAUCUGUUAUUAUUAAGCAAAAUGAUUCCUAAAUUGAAGUUUCUUUCUAUGUGUUUGUGUGUGUGUGCAGGUUUACUGGAUUUACAAGCUAGCAACCGAGAAGCAGCCUUCGAGAAGGAAAACGCACUAACCUAGUUCAUCAGUUUUUAGUAAUAAAAGGUAAAACCCUAGAUCAUCUGUUUUUUACCGUUUGAUUUCU